CUCUUCUCCCCUGUCUACCGAUAUAUGUAGCUUUGGGGCGCCGCCCGGUCUUCCCCGGGGAAGGCUGACCCCUUCUCGUGCCCGCCAAAGGCCUCAUUUAACCCUGUGAUCAGUGUCGUCCGAGUAAAAACAAUCGUUAAAACUUUCAACAACGGAUCUCUUGGUUCCGGCGUCGAUGAAGAACGCAGCGAAAUGCGAAAAGUAAUGUGAAUUGCAGAAUUCCGCGAAUCAUCGAAUCUUUGAACGCACAUUGCGCCCUUUGGUAUUCCGAAGGGCAUGCCUGUUCGAGCGUCAUUGCACCCCUCAAGCACUGCUUGGUAUUGGGCUUCGCCCCUGCGGCGGGCCCGGAUUCUAGUGGCGGUCCAGCGAGACUUCAAGCGUAGCAAGAUUAUCACAUCCCGCUUAGCAAGCCUUUUCGCUGCGUGCCGGCCAGACAACCCUAUACCAUUCCAAUGAUUGACCUCGGAUCAGGUAGGGAUACCCGCUGAACUUAAGCAUAUCAAUA
This 505-nucleotide small RNA is filed under the name Physconia muscigena. RNAcentral's name for it is "eukaryotic LSU rRNA". The stretch from base 141 to 294 matches the Rfam family "5.8S ribosomal RNA". Lineage: Eukaryota; Fungi; Ascomycota; Lecanoromycetes; Caliciales; Physciaceae. The record is from RNAcentral.